RNAcentral lists this long non-coding RNA (2492 nucleotides) under Equus caballus (horse). Its description in RNAcentral is "lncRNA (ENSECAG00000057567.1)". Lineage: Eukaryota; Metazoa; Chordata; Mammalia; Perissodactyla; Equidae. The record is from RNAcentral.
GGUCAGAGAAACUCUCUCACCAGUGCUGGCCUUGAAGAAACAAGCUGCCAUGUUGUGAGAGGACCUGUGGAGAAGGCCAUGCAACAAGAAACUGCAGAUGGCCUUCAGGAGCUGAGUAUUCCCCUGGCCAAUAGGCAGCAAGAAAGUGGGACCUUAAACCUGCAAUAAUGAGGAGAUGAAUUCUGCCAACAACCUGAGGGAGUGUGGAGGGAAACCUUUCCCCAGUCAAGUCUCUGAUGAGAACAGAGCUCUGACUGUUCCUGGAUUACAGCCUUGUGAGACCUGAAGUAGAGGGCUCAGCUGAGCUGUGCCUGUAGGAUUUGUGAUCUAUAGAAAUUGCAAAAUAAUGUGUUGUUUUAAGCCAUUAAUUUUUGGUUAUUUGUUUGGCAGCAUAAAAUACUAAUGCACUUGGCGUCAAGAGAGUAGAUCCAGACAUUUCCUGGGGAUUUCUUCUAGUAACAUGAUUUGCUAUCAUAGGAAGAACAAUCAUGGUUGGGUCACUGAGCAUCGGAAGAGUGGGACCAGAACAAAACCAGUGCUGACUUAGCAUCUUCACUUCAGAAGAAGCUUAUUGGUUUCAAGUCUCACCACUUCCCAUUCCCCUGAUAAGAAAGCCCAGAUGCUCCUGCCUUUGGCACCAGCCAAAAGACACAAGUCCAAAACCACAGGAGCCCAAGCCAGCCUCCUUUCCCUGCUCCCUCAAGCCACUUUAGAACACCUUGGGGACCUGCCCCACUCUCCCCGGAGAGAGACCAGAGCACAGCUUAUAUAAGCCGGAGAACUGAAAAGAAAAGAUGAAAUGCCUUUUAGCAGUCAGCGUGUGUGUAAGAGAAUGAGACUCUUCCUGAGAUUUCCUGUAAUUAUUUGGAAGGAAUGAGAAGUCGUCUGGAACCAGAGAAAGACCAUUUUGAGGCUGUCGUUCUUCCCGUAGGCAGGGGAGGCCUGAGAAGCUAUGGUUACAGUAAAUGGGCUGGUGAGGUCACUGGUCUUGGGACGCUUUCCUUUGGCGACAUGAAAGGUAGAGCCUUUUUUCAGUUGUUUCCAGUGGUUGUUUUAUUUAGCUGAUCUCAAAUGGAACCUAAUAGACCUACCUAAUGGUUUCAAACAGCAUUGAUUUGGUUCUUUCUUAGACUGAAGUGCCAAUGUUCAGAGCUUUGACGUUUGGUGAGCGCUUCCCCAUUCUUUCCCCUUCCCUGACACCAUGGCCCUGCAUUCCACCCUUGCUAGGCAGUCUGCUCCUCAAGUGAAGGGACCCUGCCUCAUUCUUCUUUGUACCUUCAGAAGCUAGCUCUGUGCCAGACACCUGUUUGUUAGAUGAAUGAAUGAAUUACACAGAGCACCAGGUUCAGAUCAAUAAGCAAUGCCAUGGAAAAUAAGGAAAAAUAAAAGGGGUCAUUCAAUGUGUGGUCGCUCACAAACACUGUACACUUCUCAGUGUUUAGUAGCGGGUGUGUAUAGGGCUACUCACAUAUUGAUUGCUCUGUUAUUCCCAUCAAAUUAGUCAUUUGAGAUGCCAACUUUAAUUUGCUGGAGUGGCUCUUUUUCAACAUAACUCUGAAGAAAAAAAAACAAGGCACCAUAACACUUUCCUGACAUAACAGCAUCAAAGGCCCCUGCUUACAGGAUAUUACCUAGAUCUGUGAAUGUGGCCGGGGCCCACCCGGCCAUUCAUUGGUUACAAUGUUGUAUUUCUCCCACAUGAUAUGGAAAAUGCAUGUUUUGAGAAGAAAUUGAAAGCACUUCCUUACCCGCAUAGACGUCUCAUUUUGACCUCUGGUGGGGGUUGAGUCGCCAGUUUGGCUGAGGGUGCUUACCCUCACCUUUCUCCCAAACGCGGUCAGGGAGAAGCUAGGCCUCCUUUGUCUCGUUUGUCUGUCUAGGCGUGUAACUGCAAUGGAGGAGGUACUGCUUUUCCUUGAACUACUCCCAUUUUCCUUGAGUUCAGAGGAAAUCCACUGUGGGUUGGCUCCACUGAGGCGUCAGAGGAUGUCAGAAUGGCAUCUAGAGCAGAGUCUCUUGCUGGUCUCUUUCUCUCUGUGGACUGGCAUCAGUUAUCUGAAUUUCCUAGCAAGGCUCAAAGGGGAGUGGGAGAGAGAGGGCCCAAGCAGCAGCAUCUUAGUGGAUAGGUCAGAAGCAAGCAAGAGGAGGGAAAUAUGCCCAAGGGCCUGCACUGGAGCAACAUUGAUCUAGAAAAUUCCUAUCUCUGAGAUCCCAGUUAAUCGUGCAUUAACAGCAGUUUAAAGGCCUCCUGCUUCUCUUUAAGUAAGCAUUGUAAGUUAUCUGCUUUUCAAAUUACUUUGGAAACAAACUCGAGUAGAAAGCAUCAUCAUAGCCUGGGUCUGGCAUAGAGUGCAUUAGCUUUGCCAUCGCCCUGCUGAUUUAAUUGGCCCAGUAAGCACGCUUGAGGUGUUUGGGAUUGUAAUUAAAGUUGUGGUGCCUGGAAAAUCCUCCGUCUGUUAUUAUAAUUUUUUUCUAAAAUAAACUAUCCUAGC